This 301-nucleotide ribosomal RNA is filed under the name uncultured bacterium. RNAcentral's name for it is "partial 16S ribosomal RNA". It matches the Rfam family "Bacterial small subunit ribosomal RNA", at positions 509 to 807 of the family's 1533-position model. The record is from RNAcentral.
CAGUCGCCGCGGGAACACGUAGGGUGCGAGCGUUAAUCGGAAUUACUGGGCGUAAAGCGCACGUAGGCGGAUAUUUAAGUCAGGGGUGAAAUCCCAGAGCUCAACUCUGGAACUGCCUUUGAUACUGGGUAUCUUGAGUAUGGAAGAGGUGAGUGGAAUUCCGAGUGUAGAGGUGAAAUUCGUAGAUAUUCGGAGGAACACCAGUGGCGAAGGCGGCUCACUGGUCCAUUACUGACGCUGAGGUGCGAAAGCGUGGGGAGCAAACAGGAUUAGAUACCCGCGUAGUCCCUGUCUCUUAUAC